This 251-nucleotide ribosomal RNA is filed under the name uncultured bacterium. RNAcentral's name for it is "partial 16S ribosomal RNA". It matches the Rfam family "Bacterial small subunit ribosomal RNA", at positions 524 to 776 of the family's 1533-position model. The record is from RNAcentral.
UACAGAGGUCUCAAGCGUUGUUCGGAUUCAUUGGGCGUAAAGGGUGCGUAGGUGGCGCAACAAGUCACUUGUGAAAUCUCCGGGCUUACCCGGAGCGGCCAAGUGAUACUGUCGUGCUAGAGUGCGGAAGGGGCUACUGGAAUUCUCGGUGUAGCGGUGAAAUUCGUAGAUAUUCGCAAGAACACCAGUGGCGAAGGCGGCUCACUGGCCCGAUACUGACGCUGAGGCACGAAAGCGUGGGAGCAAACAGG